GUGAAUCAAUGAGUUUUAUUGGGAUU
This 26-nucleotide non-coding RNA is filed under the name Rattus norvegicus (Norway rat). Lineage: Eukaryota; Metazoa; Chordata; Mammalia; Rodentia; Muridae. The record is from RNAcentral.